Molecule: long non-coding RNA, 1297 nt
Organism: Lolium rigidum
Lineage: Eukaryota; Viridiplantae; Streptophyta; Magnoliopsida; Poales; Poaceae
Exons: 4
Source: RefSeq, a predicted model, not a curated record
AACAAGAUUUGUAUGGAUGAUCAAUCGAGAAGGGAAUACUCUAAGCCGACGAGGCGCUCGAGUUGAAGCUCAUCAGAUACCAAAGAAGCGGGUUAGCUCUGCACCAUGAGCUGCAUGGGGAUCUGAAGUUUCAACAGGUUAAGUGACAAGCCCAGAGACUGAUGAUAAUGUUUAUAUUAAAAGGUCCAUGGUUCUUUGUUUGCAGUGGCCCUUGGAGUUUGUAUAUAUGUACAUAUAUCAGCUGACCUGAGGUAAUUUUUAUUUACAUUAUAUACCAACCAAGGGUACAAUGUAGUUAAUCUGUCAUUCCCUCUCCUCGCUAAUUACAGCAUUAUUAAUUGAAAGGAAGAACUUCACUUCAGUUUGAACUUAAUGAUAAUAAAAAAUUUACCUCACAAUCGAGUUGACGUACAUUCUAAUAUGCCAUUGGUAAAGAGUAAUAAUGAGCCUUCAUACUUGAGUUCAAUUUACCAUGUUUUCCAUGAACCUAGAAAUAGCCUGUUGUCAAUGACUAAUACACAUGUUCACCUUUAAAUUGUCUUUCUCAAUUGAGGCAACUGUAUACUCUCAGAGAUCUCUUACUUGCUCUACUUCGUUGUUAGCUGAGUGUUCACAAAUGCCCCCAUUAUACAUGUAUAGAAUGGGGUAGAAAGGUAAGCCACUCUUCAGUUCCCCAAAUUAGCUUGGAAAGGUAUAGCAAGCCCUUUAUUUCACAUGCAAACUGUUCACAGGUAGAAGCUCCCAGUCAAUGGAUAAGAUAUCCAGCAUACAAAGAUAAUAGAAGAGGUUAUAGGGCAAUUCAUGUUUUCCGGCUACCAAUGUAAUACAAUUAUGGGCCAUGGUACAACUUUGGUUGUCGUUACAGCAAGAGGUCUAACAGACUAUGUACCAUCUGCUAUUAGCGGCACAAUUGGAAAAAAUGAGUUGUUGUCGCCGAGGUACACCAGUAGCCGUUGAUCUUGACAACAUACCAUUCCCCAUCCCGAGUUCUCAAAUGAUCACCACUAUUGAUUCAGUGACAGCACCCAACAGUGCUUUCAGACUGCCAGCAACUAUUCAGAAAUCUGAACAGCUUGGUUUGCCUGAAGACGCGGCCACCCCAUCAGUAGGCAACGAAAAUUCAGAGUGCACCUGCUGAGAAAAGGAAGUAAACAAGGAACUGUUUCCCACCUAACAAAAGGAGCUUAACUUACCAAGACCAAGAAUGCCAUUUAUGCACUACAACCACGGCAAUUCAGAAACUGGAGACAGGGAGUUCAAUUGAUGAAUCAGAAAUUUGUCGCCAAGUUGUCAAACU